AGAUAUUUAAUGUUUGCUUUUAAUUUAAUAAUUUCAGCCAUCACCAUCUGAUACAGCUGGCAGUGAGGACACCAUUGACGUGUUAGAUGACAGCCAAAGC
This is a long non-coding RNA of Melanotaenia boesemani (Boeseman's rainbowfish), 100 nucleotides long. RefSeq lists it as uncharacterized. Lineage: Eukaryota; Metazoa; Chordata; Actinopteri; Atheriniformes; Melanotaeniidae. The transcript has 3 exons. The record is from RefSeq and is a predicted model, not a curated record.